RNAcentral lists this ribosomal RNA (265 nucleotides) under uncultured bacterium. RNAcentral's name for it is "partial 16S ribosomal RNA". It matches the Rfam family "Bacterial small subunit ribosomal RNA", at positions 88 to 354 of the family's 1533-position model. The record is from RNAcentral.
AUGGCGACCGGCGCACGGGUGAGUAACACGUAUCCAACCUCCCGAUGACUCGGGGAUAGCCUUUCGAAAGAAAGAUUAAUACCCGAUGGCAUAGUUCUUCCGCAUGGUAGAACUAUUAAAGAAUUUCGGUCAUCGAUGGGGAUGCGUUCCAUUAGCUUGUUGGCGGGGUAACGGCCCACCAAGGCAUCGAUGGAUAGGGGUUCUGAGAGGAAGGUCCCCCACAUUGGAACAGAGACACGGUCCAAACUCCUACGGGAGGCAGCAG